UACGGGGGGAGCAAGCGUUGUUCGGAUUUACUGGGCGUAAAGGGCGCGUAGGCGGUCAGCACAAGUCAGUUGUGAAAUCUCCGGGCUUAACUCGGAAAGGUCAACUGAUACUGUGCGACUAGAGUGCGGAAGGGGCAACUGGAAUUCUCGGUGUAGCGGUGAAAUGCGUAGAUAUCUGGAGGAACACCGGUGGCGAAGGCGGCGUUCUGGACUGCAACUGACACUGAUGAACGAAAGCCAGGGGAGCAAACGGG
Molecule: ribosomal RNA, 254 nt
Filed under: uncultured bacterium
Lineage: Bacteria
Description: partial 16S ribosomal RNA
Rfam family: Bacterial small subunit ribosomal RNA
Source: RNAcentral